CUCGCCGCAGCUUCCGGUACCAGAGCCGAGCGCCGGAAGCGCAGGCUGUCGCGACUGGCUGUCGAGUGCGCUGCCGUCCAGCCCGUUGAGAACCCAAGUGAGACCCGUAGAGCCGCAGGCCUUAGAGACGCGAGGUUUACUGCUGCACCUUACAACGAAACGAAAACAACAGAAACCAUUUUAAAAUCUCAGGGAAAAGAUCAUCGCCUUGAUUAAGGAAGAUCUCAGACCUCCCCGGCUGACGGCAGAAGUGUCUCGUGGCAGGUUAAUUGGCAUGCUACUUUAGAAAAGGCACUCGAGGGAAGGACACGACUUCUGUGUUCGGGGAAACCACACGGCAGUUCAUUCCGAGCCAGACAGGAGUGACCUAGGCCCGGGAACGCAGGUUCCAGUUGCCUUGAAGGGUGCUGAAGAAAUCCACGUUGAAGGCAGAGAACAAAGGUCGUCGUCCUCCGUGCACUGACCCUGCCGGGGUGCUGGGCUGACCACAGGUUAAGUCAAAUGGGAAAAUGGACUGCGUUCUCAGGGAGGUUGGUCAGGCCUGAGUUCUGGAAUUCGGGGGAGUACCAGGGAUUGAAUCUGGAGAGGCGUGACUACCGAGCCACACGUCCAGCCCUUUUUUAUUUUGAGACAGGGUCUCACUAAGUUGCCUUGGACCUUGUUGAGUUAUUGGGGCUGUUGUUGAACUUGAAAUCUUCCAGCCUCAAGUCUUCCCAGCUCCUGGGUGAUCCCAGGUGUGUGCCACCAGGCCCAGCAGGUUCUGUUCUUUUGCCUAAAUGUCAUGACAGGGUUAAGACAGAUGCAGAUGAUAAGAAGUAGUGGAUUUUUUUCUUAGGGGCUGAAGUAACCCUUGUCUCAAAAGCUGCCAGUGCCUUACCUCUCAGCUUGCCUUCCAUUUUGUCUCUAUUUGAGAGGAAAUAGUUGGCAACUGGUGCUUGCUUGAAGAAUUCUAUCAUAAUAGUUUAUUGUGGAAUAUUUAAAAGAAACCUCUCCAGGGUAGGGUUGAUGCACUGUUUGCAGAUAAGACAAUUGUGGUUUUUUUCAGGAAGGUUCUAAAAUAAUUGCACAAAUUUCUGUCUAUUUCUAAAUUGAAAGCUGUGGAGAGUGGAUGAGCCCCGGGUCUCCACUGAUCCUGCGGGAUCAUCCAAAGCCAAUCCCAUGAAACAUUUUUCGCCAAAAAGGCAAAGAUAUUAAUAAUCUUGACCCUCAGCUCUGAUGCUAACAGGGACAUUCCAGGACAGUGGGUUUCCUGGGUGCAGCAGGGUAUUCCUCACACUUGAUACUGAGGUUUUGAAAUUAAAAUUAAACAGUAGGAUAGCUACAAAAAUGCUUCUAGUUUUGAAACUUUUUAGUGCACAAAGAAACCUUUUUUUUUGGUUGUGUUGGGGAUUGAACCCAAGGCCUUGUGCAUGUGAGGCAGGCACUCUACCAACUCCCCAGCCCUCAAAGAAGCCUCUUGGUAACUUCAAAUUAGAAUAGACACCUUAUGAACUCUUAAUGACUUCCAAAAACUUCUGAGUGACAUUGAUUGAUUACGUCCCUCUUUAAAGUUAACUACAUCAAAGUUAGUUCACUAUCUUCAAAGGAGAUCCACCUCUGUCUCCUCAAUAACCGACUUCAGAAGCUAAAACUGCACUGACUCACGAAGACUCUGCUCUUCAAGCAGCCCAGCUUACUAUGGUCAAUCUAAAUAGAUCUAUUCAAGUACUGACUUUUCCUGCUACUCAUAUCCCUACAGGAAUUCUUUGGCAGGAAACAAAAAUUAUAAAAUGGCUUCACCUGCAACAUUCUUCUAAAUCCUUAAUGCCAUUUUCAUGAUUAGUUGCUCAGUUAAUUUAAAAAAUUCAAUGAGUACAGCAACUCUUGGGGCUAGAGCAUUCCCUUAUUAUAGUUCGUUUUACUACUGCACAACAAGAUUGGCUUUGACAAAAUUCUGCAAGUUGACGGAUUACACUUGCUAAUUUUUCUGGCCAAAUUGAUAGCUAUUACACUUUGAUAAAACUUCUAUAACAACUUUUGUUUUCCCUAAAAUUGUUUGCACUAAACCAAUUUCUCAGGCUCUAAUGGUUUUUACUAAUGGGUCCAGCUCAGGGAGGCCAGAUUAAAAUUUUUGCCUUACAACCCUUUUCAUCAGAAUCUAUAAAUAUUUACAGUGACAGUCCUUAUGCAGUGGGGGCAACUCAGGUAAUUGAAACAGCCACUAUUGGGCAUAUUAUCUGAGGUAUUAUUUUAGCUUUUUAAAUCUUUACAAAACUCUAUGCAACAAUGUUGUUAGCUUUUUUUUUUAUUGGACAUAGUUGAGCUCAUUCGGUCUUGCAGGACCUUCUGUAGAAGGAAACAAUGUUAUAGAUCAUCUUGUUGCAUCAGUAGAAUGUGUAUCACCUUAUUCCUCUCUCAGGCAUCACAUGCCCUACAUCACCAAAAUGCUUCCAGUUUGCACAAAGAAUUUCACCUCAUUAGGGAGCAGUCUUGGACCACAGCUAAACAAUACCCUCAAUGUAUUAUUCACCCCCCAGUCUUAUUAACUGGGAUAAAUGCUCGGGGCCUUAAGCCAAAUCACAUUUGACAGAUGGAAGUUCUGCAUGUACAAGAGUGUGGAAGACAACAGUAGGUACAUGUGUCUAUUGACACCUAUUAUUUUUGCUACAGCACAAAUAGGAGAAAGUGGUAAUGGUCAUUAGUUAUUGGCUGAUUUUGGGCAAACCUCAGGAAUUUGAAACUGAUAAUGGUCCAGCUUAUGCCAGUUCUUUUCAGUGCUUUUGUGUUUCUUAUAUUAUUCAUAAGACACGAAUCCCAUAGAAUACUCAAGGACCAGGAAUAGUAGAAUGUGCCAACAGAAUGUUAGAAAUUCAACUUCAGAAACAAAAAGGGGGAGAUAGGUAUUAUCCAUCUCCACAGAAUCAAUUGCAUCAUGCUCUUUUUAUUUUGAAUUUCUUAUAUUGUAAUGAGAAGGGCUGCACUGCAGCUGAGAGAUACCAAGUCUCUGGUUCAGCUUGUUCAGCAGGAAUGGUAUGGUAGAAAGAUUUACCAUCAGGAAAAUAGAAUGGGCCGGAUCCAGUAAUGAUGGGAAGAGGUUAUGACUGUAUCUUUCCAGAAGGUGCUGAGAAGCCGAUUGGGUAUCUGAGAGAGGAGUCAUCAACAUGGAUCCAAAAACUGAACACGAACCCGAAUCCAAAAGACUGAAGAUCACACCAUCAAUAAUGGUACCGACACAACAGCUACCUUUAAACAUUCAGCCAAGCAAAGGAGGCAAGAAAAAGGAAGGAGCAACAAAAAGCACACUACGCGCAAAUCCCCCGACGUGGAGUCAGAUCCAGAACUUGGCAAGCAAAGCUCAGGGAGUGAUUGAGAAGCAGGGGGUCCCUGAGACACCAGCUACCAUGUUUAUGGCAAUGCUGGCUGUUCUAAGUUGUCAGUCAAAUGCAGUCUCCUCAAAUCCAGUCUCGUCAAAUCCCAGUUCCAAUACCUCCAAGUAGACAUGCAUCGAUUACAGUUAAAAAAUAAGGUGGAGAUGUGGAGAGCAGAUGAGCCCCUGGUUGAUGUCAGCUGAUCCUGUGGUGUUGGCAGAAGUCAAGUCUGGGAAACAUUCCUUGCCAAAAAGGCAAGGAUGCAGCAGGAUGUUCCUAGCAUUGCAAAAGUAGGGUAACUGCAGAAAUAGUUCUACUUCUGUAACUUUUUAGUGUGCAGAGAAGACUCUUGGUAACUCACAAGACUUGAACAAUUUACAUUGCCCCUCUAGUUAAACUUCCUAAUUAUGAGACCCUUUAUAAUAAACUUGCAAAGCUAGUUCUGGGUCACUGUUUCCCCAUCAGAGUGUCCCAGUGUCCCAUCUAGUCCCAGCUUUACUUCAGAAUGUCUCUGUUUUUGUUUUUCUCCAUCUCCCAUCACCCCUACUUGAGGUCUUUUGUUGAUGCUGCGUGGGUCUGGCAGAGAGCUGACUUCUACAUUAAUGAAUAACUCAAGUUUGUCUAUACAGAAGCUAUAAGAAAAAAUCUCUGUUCAGAGAAAAAUCAGCUUUCCCCCUCCAUUUCUGGCAGUCCUUGUUAUAAUUCUUUUUUUUUUUUAAGGUUUUUAAAGGUAGACAUAAUACAUUUAUUUAUUUAUUUAUAUGUGGUGCUGAGGAUCGAACCCUUUGGCUCACAUGUGCAAGGCUGAGAUGUAACCCCAGCCGCCAUGCAUUAUAAUUCUGGAGCAAUUCUCUUUGAGUUCCCAAGAACCCAGACUUGCUUUUGCUAUUGACUUGGCAGAAGUUCCUGCAAAGCAUUUUUUUUAGAAAUAAUUUUAAUCUUACAAGAAAGUUGUUAUAUAGAAUUCCUGAAUUGUCUUAUUCAGAUUCCCCCCCCCUUUUUUUUUUAAAUUUAGAUACAGGGUCUCACUGAGUUGCUUAUUACCUCCCUGUUGAUGAGGCUGGCAUGAUCCUCCUCCCUCAGCUUUCUGAGCUGCUGGGAUUACAGGCAUGCUCCAUUAUGCCUGGCUAGAUACAUCAAUUUUUAAAAAAUAGUUGAAGAUGAAAAAAAUACCUUUAGUUUUAGGAUAGCACCUAGUGCCUUACACUUGCUAAAAAAGGCACUUUAGUAUUAGAGCCCCAGCCCCAGCCCAGAUUCAUCAAUUCUUAACAUUUUGACCCAUUUAACAUUCUCUUUACUGCAAGCCUACUAUUUAUAUUUAUGAAAUAUUUAAAAUUUCUGUGUGAAUUACUAAAGAACAAGGAUCUUUUUUUUUAAAAUAAAGAUGUUUGACACUGAUUAUGUUCUGAUGUCAAUCAUUCCAAUAAUGUGUUUUAGGCAGUUUUUCGUCUAUUACAGUUUAGUACACAUUGCAUAAAAGUUGCCAUGUCUUUAGCCUCUUUAACAUGGAUUUCUUAUAACAUUGAGAUGUUUCUCUUGUCACUCCAUAAUUGUUAUAAUUUACAAAUAAAAUUUAUAUUACUCCA
This is a non-coding RNA of Ictidomys tridecemlineatus (thirteen-lined ground squirrel), 4933 nucleotides long. The record is from RefSeq and is a predicted model, not a curated record. NCBI's taxonomy places the organism in Eukaryota, Metazoa, Chordata, Mammalia, Rodentia, Sciuridae.